RNAcentral lists this ribosomal RNA (171 nucleotides) under uncultured bacterium. RNAcentral's name for it is "partial 16S ribosomal RNA". It matches the Rfam family "Bacterial small subunit ribosomal RNA", at positions 338 to 508 of the family's 1533-position model. The record is from RNAcentral.
CCUACGGGAGGCAGCAGUAAGGAAUAUUGGUCAAUGGGAGAAAUCCUGAACCAGCAACGCCGCGUGAAGGACGAAGGGCUUUUAGCUUGUAAACAUCUUUUUUGUAGGGAAAAAUAUACGAUUACUUCGUGUUGAUUGUACCUUGAGAAUAAGCCCCGGCUAACUACGUGC